AGUUGAAUAACACAGCAUGGAGUGAAGGCUGGUGUGGACAUUAUGGUGACAGACGGGCCAUGUCCCGAUUCUCUAUCCUUUUCACUUCACAUUUAAAAGCAGUGGAUUGGCUGGUCUAGGGGUAAUGAUAGUGUAGUCUGGUCUAGGGGUAAUGAUAGUGUAGUCUGGUCUAGGGGUAAUGAUAGUGUAGUCUGGUCUAGAGGUAAUGAUAGUGUAGUCUGGUCUAGGGGUAAUGAUAGUGUAGUCUGGUCUAGGGGUAAUGAUAGUGUAGUCUGGUCUAGGGGUAAUGAUAGUGUAGUCUGGUCUAGGGGUAAUGAUAGUGUAGUCUGGUCUAGGGGUAAUGAUAGUGUAGUCUGGUCUAGGGGUAAUGAUAGUGUAGUCUGGUCUAGGGGUAAUGAUAGUGUAGUCUGGUCUAGGGGUAAUGAUAGUGUAGUCUGGUCUAGGGGUAAUGAUAGUGUAGUCUGGUCUAGGGGUAAUGAUAGUGUAGUCUGGUCUAGGGGUAAUGAUAGUGUAGUCUGGUCUAGAGGUAAUGAUAGUGUAGUCUGGUCUAGGGGUAAUGAUAGUGUAGUCUGGUCUAGGGGUAAUGAUAUUGUAGUCUAGGGCUAAUGAUAGUGUAGUCUAGAGGUAAUGAUAGUGUAGUCUGGUCUAGGGGUAAUGAUAGUGUAGUCUGGUCUAGAGGUACUGAUAGUGUAGUCUAGAGGUAAUGUAGUCUAGUCCAGAGGUAAUGUAGUCUAGUCCAGAGGUAAUGUAGUCUAGUCCAGAGGUAAUGUCUAGUCCAGAGGUAAUGAUAGUAAAGUCUAGAGGUAAUGAUUGUGUAGUCUAGAGGUAAUAAUUGUGUAGACUAGAGGUAAUGGAUUUGAGUCUGGAUGUAAUGUAGUGUAGAGGUAAUGAUAGUCUAGUCCAGAGGUAAUGAUAGUCUAGUCCAGAGGUAAUGAUGUCAAGGCCAGAGGUAAUGAUGUCAAGGCCAGAGGUAAUGAUGUCAAGGCCAGAGGUAAUGAUGUCAAGGCCAGAGGUAAUGAUGUCAAGGCCAGAGGUAAUGAUAGUGUAGACUAGAGGUAAUGUCGUCUAGUCCAGAGGUAAUGUAGUCUAGUCCAGAGGUAAUGUAGUCUAGUCCAGAGGUAAUGUCUAGUCCAGAGGAAAUGAUAGUAAAGUCUAGAGGUAAUGAUAGUAAAGUCUAGAGGUAAUGAUAGUAAAGUCUAGAGGUAAUGAUAGUAAAGUCUAGAGGUAAUGAUUGUGUAGUCUAGAGGUAAUGGAUUUGAGUCUGGAUGUAAUGUAGUGUAGAGGUAAUGCAGUCAAGUCCAGAGGUAAUGCAGUCUAGUCCAGAGGUAAUGCAGUCUAGUCCAGAGGUAAUGUAGUCUCGUCCAGAGGUAAUGUAGUCUCGUCCAGAGGUAAUGUAGUCUCGUCCAGAGGUAAUGUAGUCUCGUCCAGAGGUAGUCUCGUCCAGAGGUAGUCUCGUCCAGAGGUAGUCUCGUCCAGAGGUAAUGAUGUCUAGUCCAGAGGUAAUGAUGUCUAGUCCAGAGGUAAUGAUGUCUAGUCCAGAGGUAAUGAUGUCUAGUCCAGAGGUAAUGAUGUCUAGUCCAGAGGUAAUGAUGUCUAGUCCAGAGGUAAUGAUGUCUAGUCCAGAGGUAAUGAUAGUGUAGACUAGAGGUAAUGUAGUCUAGUCCAGAGGUAAUGGUGUCUAGUCCAGAGGUAAUGAUAGUGUAGACUAGAGGUAAUGUAGUCUAGUCCAGAGGUAAUGAUGUCAAGUCCAGAGGUAAUACUGCAGUCUCAGUUUCUAAAUCAGGCCUACUGCUCCUCGACAUAUCCCAUCAUUCCCUACAGCUUAUCUGCUGAGAGAAAAUACCUUAGACCAAAAGCAUUGGAUUGGUGAGAAAGAGAGAUGUG
Long non-coding RNA from Oncorhynchus keta (chum salmon), 1884 nucleotides. RefSeq lists it as uncharacterized. NCBI's taxonomy places the organism in Eukaryota, Metazoa, Chordata, Actinopteri, Salmoniformes, Salmonidae. The record is from RefSeq and is a predicted model, not a curated record. The transcript has 3 exons.